Molecule: ribosomal RNA, 841 nt
Filed under: Bacillus tequilensis
Lineage: Bacteria; Bacillati; Bacillota; Bacilli; Caryophanales; Bacillaceae
Description: bacterial SSU rRNA
Rfam family: Bacterial small subunit ribosomal RNA
Source: RNAcentral
GACAGAUGGGAGCUUGCUCCCUGAUGUUAGCGGCGGACGGGUGAGUAACACGUGGGUAACCUGCCUGUAAGACUGGGAUAACUCCGGGAAACCGGGGCUAAUACCGGAUGGUUGUUUGAACCGCAUGGUUCAAACAUAAAAGGUGGCUUCGGCUACCACUUACAGAUGGACCCGCGGCGCAUUAGCUAGUUGGUGAGGUAACGGCUCACCAAGGCAACGAUGCGUAGCCGACCUGAGAGGGUGAUCGGCCACACUGGGACUGAGACACGGCCCAGACUCCUACGGGAGGCAGCAGUAGGGAAUCUUCCGCAAUGGACGAAAGUCUGACGGAGCAACGCCGCGUGAGUGAUGAAGGUUUUCGGAUCGUAAAGCUCUGUUGUUAGGGAAGAACAAGUACCGUUCGAAUAGGGCGGUACCUUGACGGUACCUAACCAGAAAGCCACGGCUAACUACGUGCCAGCAGCCGCGGUAAUACGUAGGUGGCAAGCGUUGUCCGGAAUUAUUGGGCGUAAAGGGCUCGCAGGCGGUUUCUUAAGUCUGAUGUGAAAGCCCCCGGCUCAACCGGGGAGGGUCAUUGGAAACUGGGGAACUUGAGUGCAGAAGAGGAGAGUGGAAUUCCACGUGGUAGCGGUGAAAUGCGUAGAGAUGUGGAGGAACACCAGUGGCGAAGGCGACUCUCUGGUCUGUAACUGACGCUGAGGAGCGAAAGCGUGGGGAGCGAACAGGAUUAGAUACCCUGGUAGUCCACGCCGUAAACGAUGAGUGCUAAGUGGUUAGGGGGUUUCCGCCCCUUAGUGCUGCAGCUAACGCAUUAAGCACUCCGCCUGGGGGAGUACGGUCG